GGGGCAUUAGCUCAGUUGGCUAGAGCGUUUGACUGGCAGUCAAGAGGUCAUGAGUUCGAUUCUCAUAUGCUCCA
This 74-nucleotide transfer RNA is filed under the name Lentimicrobiaceae bacterium. Its description in RNAcentral is "tRNA-Ala". It matches the Rfam family "tRNA". From Rfam's summary of the family: Transfer RNA (tRNA) molecules are approximately 80 nucleotides in length. Their secondary structure includes four short double-helical elements and three loops (D, anti-codon, and T loops). RNAcentral also lists the same sequence under 1 other name. Lineage: Bacteria; Pseudomonadati; Bacteroidota; Bacteroidia; Bacteroidales; Lentimicrobiaceae. The record is from RNAcentral.